GACGAACCGUGCGAACGUUAUUCGGAAUCACUGGGCUUAAAGGGCGCGUAGGUGGGUUGCCAAGUCUGUGGUGAAAUCCUCCGGCUCAACCGGAGAACUGCCGUGGAUACUGGCGACCUCGAGGGGGGUAGGGGCUUGCGGAACUGUGCGUGGAGCGGUGAAAUGCGUUGAUAUGCACAGGAACUCCGGUGGCGAAGGCGGCGAGCUGGACCCUUUCUGACACUGAGGCGCGAAAGCCAGGGGAGCGAACGGG
RNAcentral lists this ribosomal RNA (253 nucleotides) under uncultured bacterium. Its description in RNAcentral is "partial 16S ribosomal RNA". It matches the Rfam family "Bacterial small subunit ribosomal RNA", at positions 524 to 776 of the family's 1533-position model. The record is from RNAcentral.